UACACUCCUACGGGAGGCAGCAGUGGGGAAUUUUGGACAAUGGGGGCAACCCUGAUCCAGCAAUGCCGCGUGAGUGAAGAAGGCCUUCGGGUUGUAAAGCUCUUUUGUCAGGGAAGAAACGGUAGUAGCGAAUAACUAUUACUAAUGACGGUACCUGAAGAAUAAGCACCGGCUAACUACGUGCCAGCAGCCGCGGUAAUACGUAGGGUGCAAGCGUUAAUCGGAAUUACUGGGCGUAAAGCGUGCGCAGGCGGUUGUGUAAGUCAGAUGUGAAAUCCCCGGGCUCAACCUGGGAAUUGCAUUUGAGACUGCACGGCUAGAGUGUGUCAGAGGGGGGUAGAAUUCCACGUGUAGCAGUGAAAUGCGUAGAUAUGUGGAGGAAUACCGAUGGCGAAGGCAGCCCCCUGGGAUAACACUGACGCUCAUGCACGAAAGCGUGGGGAGCAAACAGGAUUAGAAACCCUGGUAGUCC
This 472-nucleotide ribosomal RNA is filed under the name uncultured organism. RNAcentral's name for it is "partial 16S ribosomal RNA". It matches the Rfam family "Bacterial small subunit ribosomal RNA", at positions 332 to 796 of the family's 1533-position model. The record is from RNAcentral.